CGAAGAAAAACUUUGCCAAUGUGCGAAAGCACGACAAGGUUAAUCCGAGUGGUUUCUGCUAAAGGAACCUUUUGACAGUCCUAGAAACACUGUUGAAUAAGGGGUGGGCAAGUUCUGGUGUCAGCCGCCGCGGUAAAACCAGCACCUCAAGUGGUCAGGAUGAUUAUUGGGCCUAAAGCAUCCGUAGCCGGCUCUGUUAGUUUUCGGUUAAAUCUGUUCGCUCAACGAACAGGCUGCCGGGAAUACUGCAGAGCUAGGGAGUGGGAGAGGUAGACGGUACUCGGUAGGAAGGGGUAAAAUCCUUUGAUCUAUUGAUGACCACCUGUGGCGAAGGCGGUCUACCAGAACACGUCCGAGGUGAGGGAUGAAAGCUGGGGGAGCAAACCGGUAUUAGAUACCCGGGUAGUCCCAGCUGUAAACUAUGCAAAACUCAGUGAUGCAUUGGCUUGUAGGCCAAUGCAGUGCUGCAGGGAA
RNAcentral lists this ribosomal RNA (474 nucleotides) under uncultured Nitrososphaerota archaeon. RNAcentral describes it as "bacterial SSU rRNA". It matches the Rfam family "Archaeal small subunit ribosomal RNA", at positions 338 to 810 of the family's 1478-position model. The record is from RNAcentral. Lineage: Archaea; Thermoproteati; Nitrososphaerota.